This is a long non-coding RNA of Mirounga angustirostris (Northern elephant seal), 5808 nucleotides long. RefSeq lists it as uncharacterized. The record is from RefSeq and is a predicted model, not a curated record. The transcript has 3 exons. NCBI's taxonomy places the organism in Eukaryota, Metazoa, Chordata, Mammalia, Carnivora, Phocidae.
UGUCUGCUAGUCCUUUUUUUUUAAAGAUUUUAUUUAUUUGACACAGAGAGAGAGAGGGAGAGAGAGAGCAUAAGCAGGGGGAGCGGCAGGCAGGGGAGAAGCAGGCUCCCUGCUGAGCAGACAGCCCGAUGCAGAGCUUGAUCCCAGGACUCCGGGAUCAUGACCUGAGCCAAAGGCAGCUGCCCAACUGACUGAGCCACCCAGGCGCCCCGCAGAUGUCUGCUAGUUCUACUUGUUGAAGUCUCCUGUUCUUAUUUUAUUUCUGCUAUAGGAUUUUUACCAUGCUGCCUCCAACUUCCUUUAGCUUGCUUAAAAAUCACAACUCCUUCAAUAUUUCUUCCUGAGUCAAUGUCUAAUUCUUCUUGAAGGUAUAUGUCCAGUCUUAUUCCCGGGUUUUAAUUUUUUCAGGGAAAAGGAAUUAGACCCUCAUGCAAGACUUGGUUCAUUAUGAAGGGUCUGACAGCUGUCAUUAUCACCAUGCCCCCGUGGUGGCCUUGUCAGAGCACUCUGUACUGCUGUGACACCACAUUCCCAGCGCCCAACCCAGCGGCCGGCUUGUUGGAGGAACACCUGGGGGUUAUGAGUGGAAGAAUGACCAUUCUGCUUGGGGCUCAUGAUCUUAGUCUGUAAUUUGUCUUUUCUAAUUUCAUUUAUAUUCCCAAAUGUGUAUGUUUCAGUGCUCUUAUAUUUGCAAAAACACAUGCUAUUUUUAAAAUUAAGAUGUUUUUAGGAUUUAUGUAUAUAUGUAUUUUCAAAUAAUCUCUAUGCCCAGUGUGGGGCUUGAAAUCAUGACCCUGAGAUCAAGAGUUGCAUGUUCUACUCACUGAGUCAGCCAGGUGCCCCCACAUUCUGUUUUUAAUAGACUUGUUCUAUGAUUGAGUUUACCAGAAUUCUAAUUUUUUUCUUUUGAUUUUGAAACAACUUAAAACGUCCAAAAAAUUCAAGUUUCCAGAAUGGUACCAAGAACUCUGGUGUACUCCUCAUCCAGAUUUCCCAUGAUUAUCAUUUGUUUUAUUAUUUGAACUCUGUGUGUUUACAUACAGUUUUUAGGGCCAUUGGAGAGUAAGUUGCAGACCUGAUGCCCCUGCCCUGAAUCCCUAAGCGUGUAUUUCCUAAGAACAAGAUCAUUUAUAUACCAAAACAUAGUAAGCUGAUUAAAAUCAGGAAAUUUAAAAUUGACAGAAUACCUUUAUCUACUCAAUUCUACUAACUGUCCCUGUACAGCAGUUCUAUUUCUAGAGCCAGGAUCCAGCUCAGGAUCACACAUUGCAUUUAGUUUCCACAUCAUUUAAUAAUAUUUAAUCUGAUAUAGUUUCUCAGCUUUUCGGUGUCUUUUGUGAUACUGAUAUUUUUGAAGAAUACCAAUCAUUUAUUUUAUAGAAUAUUCCGCAGUUUGGGUUUGCCUGAGGUUGCUUCAUGAUUAUGACGUUAUGCAUGUUGCUAUGGUGGGGGACGCAGAAUAAGUGAUGUUGGGUCUUUAUUGCAUUAUAUCAGGAAACGCGUGAGGUUGGUUCGUCCCAUUAUUGGCCGUCACUUUGAUUGUUGGCUGCAGUGGAGUUGGCUAGGUUUUCCAGUGUAAAGUUAACUAUAUUCCUUUUUGUAAUUAAUAAGUACUUUGUGGGAAAAUACUUUGAAACCAUGUAAAUAUCCUGUUUUUCAUCAAACUUUUACCUACUAGAUCUGGCAUUCACUGAAGAUUUUUACCUGAGUCAGUUGAUGGUUGUCAAAAGGUGAUGUUCUAACUUCAUCAUUACUUAUCCAUUUGCUGGUUAGCAUUCUCAUACAAGUAAGAGCUUUCCCGUCCUCUCAGUGCCUCCCUCCCUCCCUCCUGUCUGUCCAUCCAUCCAUCCAGCCAGCCAGCUGUCCCUCAUUACUGUGGACUUAUGGAUCUUUAUUUAGUGGGUUCUAAUCCAUUGCUUUCAUUCUUUAUUUUUCAGCCCAUUGGCUAGAUUUGGUCAGUGGGAGCCCUUCAAGCUGGCUCUUGUAUCCUUUGAUAUGGUCCUCAUCAGUUUUUGAGCCUUUCUUUACGUUCUGGAUGGAGAUAUUUAUGUUCGUUUUGUACUUUCCCUGUCCCAGCUUUGAAAUCAGACAUCCCUCUCCAGUGUUCUAGUUCCUUUUGUUGGCAAAUGGUAUUUAGAAACCAAAAUCGGCACUGAACAUGCCAUUGCUUAUAGGCCUUUUGAGAAGUUCAUAGUGUUAUCUAGAGUUCAUACUCUCCUAUCUCUAAUUCCAGUCCAAAACCUGAGGGGUCGUUCCACUCUUUCCCUGUGUUACAUUUAUAUCUUCCUUCUCUAGCAGUGAGAAGUCUGGCUCCCGGUAUCGUCAAUAUAUUUACUCAUUUUCUUAGUCCUACAGUAUAUAUAGAAAGUAGUUUCAGAAUUACCAAGCAAUGUCCCUAUAGAAACAAACCUUUAAGUAGAGUGUAAGAGUUGUGUGUGCUCUUUCUGUCUUUAUACCGAGGAUAAAUAUACAAGGUGCCAUGAUCAGAAGUUGAUUGGGUUUGUCCUUUAAUCCUUCCUGUCAAGGUAAUUAUGCUAUUUAUUUGAAAUGUAGUUAGGCUCAUUUGUUUCUGUUUGUAUGCCAUUAUAGUGUUCCCCUAUCUUUCUUCCUUCCUCCCUCCAUCCCUCUCACCUCCCUCUCUCCCUUCCUUCCUUCCUUCCUUCCUUCCUUCCUUCCUUCCUUCCUUCCUUCCUGCCUUCCUUCCAACAUGAAAAUGGUUCCCAGUGUCAAAACUAUACAAAAGAUUAUACCCAGAGAAGGGUCACUGCCUCUCUUACCCCUCUCACCUCAUUCCCAUCUACCUCUGCAGGAGACUAGUCUCAUCUGUUCCUGGUUUUUCACUCUGGUGGGGUUGUUCGUUUGCUUGUUUGUUGUUGAAGAAAACCAGACAGAUGUUCUUAUUUCUGUUUCUUGUGCGUAAGGUGGCGUAUUACACACGUUCUUUUAUAUUUGGCUUUUUUUGUUCUGCCAUGUUUGCCAGCAUAUCCUGGAAACCGAUCCCUGUCAGGUGAUGGGGACCUUCCCCACCCCUUUUCACAGGUGUGUAGCACGCCGUGUGCAUGUAUGUGCCAUAUUCUGUUCACCAGUCUUCUCAUGGACUUUUUGAUUUCCAGUCGUUUGUAAUUACAAAUGCUGCUCCAGUGAAUAACCUCAUACAUGUGUAUUUCUGUGUUAUUGGCGUUGGGUCUUCAGCAUAAAUUCCUAGAAAUGGAAUUCCUGGGUCAAAAGGUUAAAAAAAUAUGUAGACACACUUUUAUUAGGUUUUACCACCUCUCUCUCCAUAGAGGUCAUAGCAUUUGGCGUUCACAGGAGCCAUGCCCGAGGGUGCCUUUUCUCUCCAGAUUUGUUAACAGCUCGUUGCUGUGCUUUUACAUUAGACCAACUAGAUAUACUGUAGGUGACAUUCCACAGCUUUUUAAUUGGUGAGGGCCAUCUUAAUAGUUUCCUUUUGCAAAUUAUCUGCUCAUAUCUUUUGCUCAUUUUGUUCUAUUGGAUUUUAGCUUUUUCUCAAUUUUUAUGACCUCAUUAUAUAUUAGAGCUCUUAGCCCUUUGUGAUAUAUAUUGCAAAUACUUUCUCUCAGAUCGUCAUUUUUGUUUUAGCUUUGUGGUAUUUUUGCUGUAUUUUUACAUAAUUGAAUUUAUGAGUUUUUAAAAUUGCAUUUGGAUUUGCAUCAUAGAGAGCCUUUCCCUAUAUCCAGGUUUUAGAGGAAUUCACCCAUGUUACUUGAACUUCUUUUCUGGUUUUCUGUUUUACAUGUAGAUCCUAGAGCAUUUGGAGUUGAUUCUUGUGUUUGGUGUGAGGUAUGGGUCCGUAUGGGUCUGUUCUGAGCUUUUUCCAAAUGGCCAUCCCGGUGUCUCAGUACCAUUCAUCAGAAACUCCCGCUCUGCCCUGGUGUUCGAAGCGCUCAGGCUCACGUCCUGACCUGUUGGCAGCGCUGUCUCUUUGCUGGCCGUCUGCAGAUGGCGUGAGGAGCAUCCAUGUCACAGGCGCUGGUUUUUCAGUAGGACAGUGGAUGUGAGUGAGCCAGUGGGGGGCCGGCCUGCCCGCUGCUGCUGGGCUCACUGCCAUACCAUGGGUGCCUCCCUUCUCUGAGCCCUGUUGCUGCUCUUCUCUCUCACGGUUUGUCUCUCUCCUGCCUCCUCUGUCUCUGCUUUAUGCCCUCUUACUUCUGCUUUGUUUUAUCUCUGUGUGCGUUGCCUUUCCAGUUUUGUGCUUUGGAUGCCAUCUUGCACAUAAGACGACCCUGUAACUCUCUCCCUGGCUCUUGAAUGAAUGAAUGAUUGUUGGAUGGAUGCCUGAGAACCGUUGUGAUGAUGUUGUUUUCCGAACUUUCCCCCCACUUCUUCUUUUCUUUUCUUCUCUUUUCUUUUUUUCUUUAUUUAUUUGAGAGAGAGAGAGAGAAACAGCAUGAGACGGGAUAGGGUCAGAGGGAGAAGCAGGCUCCCCGCUGAGCCGGGAGCCCGAUGUGGGACUCGAUCCCAGGACUCCGGGGUCAUGACCCGAGCCGAAGGCAGUUGCUUAACCAACUGAGCCACCCAGGCGCCCCCCCGCCACUUAACUAUGUCCUCUCUUUUCCUUUCCUCCUGCCUGGCCGUCAGCCUGCCUGUUUCAUUGAUUUUUCCUCUUUGUAGACUCAGGCUGUGGUCCUGAUGAUUCCUUGUUUCACUGGUUCACACUAACAUUACACGGAGGCCGUCAACACUUUGUACAUGUCAAGAAAGAUUGAAUCUAUUGCAUACUAGUUUUUUAGAGCUUGUUCUUCUUCUUCUUCUUCUUCUUCUUUUUUUUUUAAAGAUUUUAUUUAUUUGACAGAGACAGCGAGAGAAGGAACACAAGCAGGGGGAGCGGGAGAGGGAGAAGCAGGCUUCCCGCGGAGCAGGGAGCCCGAUGCUUGGCUCGAUCCCGGGACCCUGGGAUCAUGAUCUGAGUAGAAGGCAGACGCUUAACGACUGAGCCACCCAGGACUUCUUCCCUCACCUGCAGGAAUGAGGUACACUGGGAGCCUCCCUCACAGUGUGGCUGGGGGCUGUGAGGGAGAGCAUGGGAGGAAGUCCUUAGCACACAUGCUGAGUCCUUCUGCGUGCAAAAUCAUGUAUCUUGGGCUCUGCUGGUGUUGUAAGCACUCCGUGUAAACCCUCACUGCUCUGAAGGGAUGCCGUGUGGCUUGGAGAUGGAAUUCUCAGUUCUGUAAGGAUUGUGUCAUCGGGCCUUGAUGAUUUGAAUCUGUUCUUUAAAAAGAGUUCCAUGUGUAGUUGGUUAUGUUCUGUAAAUGGAGAUUUCUCCAGAACUCUUCCCCACGUGAGUCUGAUGGCCGGGGAAUUCGUCCAUUCUGCUUAGUGACAGAGGUUGGCCAGAAAUAGAAAAUGGGAGCCACAGACAGGAUACUAGUCUUUGUCAGUUCUAUUUCUUUAGUGCUGGACGAUUUGGAAAACACUUUCAUGUAGUUUAUCUUCGUUUGAGGACGCGUGCAGCCUCCUGCUAGCACUCAGCUUAGAGCCGCAAGGUAACGCGUGCCGACUGUGUCGUCUUCAAGAUGGCAAAGCUAGUUAUUACGGACACGUUACUUUUAUAUAAUGCAUCCCAUGUUCUUUAGUAAAAGUCUUCAAUAAGGAGGAAAACUUACUCUGAGUUAAUUAUCAUUUAAUGCAGUGCUUUGAUGUAAGACUUACAGGGGACAUAUAAGCUAGAAGAAUUUAAAAACGGCUUCAUUAUUUAAACGGGGUGGGGGGAAGUAUUUAAGUUUUAUUCUCUCUGUGCCCUUCUUUCAAACAAACAAAGAAGACAGAAAAAGCCAAAGAUUAUCUCUU